CACUGAUGAAAUAUAAAAGCAUUAUGCGGUUAGGGAACAGAAGGAGAUUAGCAAAAAUGAGCCACUGAGAUUAGCCCUGACUUUCUUUAAAAAAGAUUAAAAAAAUACUGCAAUUCUUUCACAAAAAAAAAAACACUUUCCUUUACAACAAUGAACAGAACCCCCGCCCCCCAAAAAAAGGAAAAGGAAACACCUCCGCAUGACAAGAAAUAUUUAAUUUUUAUUGACACCCCACAAUAUAACGUGCUGCAUUUUUAUGCAUUUUUAUUUAGAACACACUUAGGUACAGUGUGCUGCCUCUUGAAUAUAAACUCCAUGAAUCCGCAGGUUGACAGCUGGCGGUUGCUACCUGUUUAUGCCCCUCGAGCCAAACUGUUGAAUAUACAUUCAGUGCUACAGUAUGCACAGUAUGCACGGGGUGAUCUGCCGUCUGUUUAACGCCUCUUUCUCUGCACGUGUCUGGUCGUAAUGUGAGAGACUGUACAUCGACUUUAUGUUUUCCAUACCAAUGUCACCACCACAAGCUGUAGCACUUUUUUUUUUUUUUUUUUUUUGCUCUUGGCAGAGGAAGUGAGUGCAUUUUGAAAGCGUUCCAGCUCAGCCCUCGUCUCUCUGAUUAUGUGGAAUAUUCUGCGGGAAAAGGUUUUAAUUCUGAACGCAGCACAACGAGAGCGCAGCCUGGAACACAUCAGGCGGCCGACGGCAGCAACACAGACCAUCGAUUCCUCCAACACACCUACGUUUGUGAAAAACGACCGCACGGUUCCUAUGACAGCGAAAUAGGGGAGUAAAGGGUCUAAAACCGGCUGUGGUCCUCGCCGACGCUUGACAGUAUUGAGAGACUAGGCAACAGGGAGCGAGCGCUCAGCGCGGGGACCGGCAGCUCCAGGUCGGGCCAAUGUGAGAAGACUGAAUGAGGGACCGUGUCUAAAUGCAAACUCUCGUGACGCGAGACGACACGAAGCAGGUGCAUGUUUUCGCUGGUUUCACGCAGCAACUACGCCGCCGGCGGCGCCGUGACGUGAGGCCGAUGCAGAUGUGGUACCGGGUUCAGCUCCUCACGCAGCCUGCCGUGGACUGAUUCCACCUCUGUGUCUGAUGUCUGCCUGCGCGUCAAAAGCAGCGUCACGUGUUCCCGUCUGCACGUCGAAAUAUCUGAUAACAAGAGAGAGAAAUGGGAACAGCAACGUCUCCGAGCGGCGGAUUCUGAACCUGCUUACUAUUCCGGCAAUUUAUCAAAUAAUCAUUCCGGGAUAUUAAAUAUUUCAAAUCGA
Long non-coding RNA from Mugil cephalus (flathead mullet), 1274 nucleotides. RefSeq lists it as uncharacterized. The transcript has 2 exons. NCBI's taxonomy places the organism in Eukaryota, Metazoa, Chordata, Actinopteri, Mugiliformes, Mugilidae. The record is from RefSeq and is a predicted model, not a curated record.